GCCACUUGAACAUGUGUACAAUCUUAGAGGCUUCAUCUUCUCCAAAAGACAUGAUAACCUCUUGUUGCACACUGUUUGGCUAUCGAUUUUUUAGGCUGGUGAUAUUCA
Molecule: non-coding RNA, 108 nt
Organism: Caenorhabditis elegans
Lineage: Eukaryota; Metazoa; Nematoda; Chromadorea; Rhabditida; Rhabditidae
Source: Ensembl